GCACACAGCGUGCUGGGCACUCAGCAGGAGUACAAACCAGACACCAUCAGCACACAAACUUGGGCAUUCAGCUCCCCUUUGGCGGAUUUAAUGAAGAGUAUGAACAUCUCUACCUCCAGGCUGGGUGUCAUGGUGCAUGCCCCUAAUCUCAGCACUUAGGAAACAGAGGCAGGAAAUCUAUUAGCUGAUUAUGCCAAGGAAAUACAAUAUUUUCAUUGUGACACUAAUCGAGUUUGCUGAUAAUCAUUGAAGAUGAUUGGGCUGGGGCCUGCAUGCUACAACACUGACCUAAUGGUGUGAUUACUGCACAAGACCUGAAUAAAAUCAAGCCAGUCAAAAGCCUAAUGCAAAUGGGGGAGAGACACCUAGCCCCACCUUCUCAGAAGAACUAUUAGCAGUUGAUGACUGCUGAGGGAGAAAGGAUCAAGUCACUCUCCUUUGGGGAUGUUGCAACUGACACGCACAAGCAGCCCUCCACUGGAAUCAACUGUGGCCUUGCCUGCAGGGAUUCUCUGGAAAGAUCAAAUGAGAAGCUUGCAAAACUCCCCAUUUAAUCCUUGCAACCACGUUUGAAGUGCAAUUACUAUCUACAAGAUGCUCAACAACCACCUCCAAGUUGCCAGUUGCUUGGAAGCCAGGCAGGACUGGACCAGAGUUCCUGGCCCCUCAACAUCCUGGCUGUCUGCAGCUCAUCGCCUCACCCUGCUAGCUUUGCUCUAGGCUCUGGGCCCUUAGCUCCCUCCUCAAACCACACUCUCUUCCUGCACUGGGUUACUGUGACAGGAUCUGCAGUCCUGGAAAUUCCUCCCUAAAGUUGCUAUAGAAACUCCCGGUGUGGGUGUGUGGAGGAAGGGGUGCGAUUCCUCCCAGCUGAUGCACAGAGCUUUGCACAGCUUGAGGCAGCAUAGAAUCAGGCCCGUGGCGUUUGUUUCUCACCCAAUUUGAGCCGCCCCAGAGUGUGGAGGAGGAAGACACCCUACUCCUUUUCUGGGUAUCAGUGAGGGAAAAGAGAAAGUCCUCUGAUGUGAUUCAAUUUUAUCUGGGGAAAAGUGAAGAGCUUGCUGAGUCCAGCCACUUCAGAAACAGUGACUCGGGAGCCAGAGUGGCCACCAAGCUCCCAGCAGGUCAAAGAUUACCACCAGUCAAAAAUGAACACAGCACGUUUCUCAGUAAGAUGCCAACACCACUCUCCUAUUUUAUCAAGACACAGGUUAGGGAACCUGAAUGAUCACAAAGCUUCAUUAGUCAGCCCCUACACUCAGCAGCUGGGACUGGGUGAGCUUCCUGAUCAAUAGCGCCCCCUGGUGAUCAGGGGGUCAGAACGGACGGAUGAAACAGGAAUUUAAUCGUUCAUGUUGACAAACUGGAUUUUCACAGGGUGGCCUGUGAAAUUGUCUCUUCUCACACAGUUCUUAAAAUAAAUCCUGUUGAAGGGAGGGUUUCACAUGGGGAGAAGUGACAGAUAUAUCCUGUUCUGCAUAAGAUGACUAAUAUCUGCACAUGUUCACAAGCACAAGCUGGUGAAUGUCAGAGACACUCAGGCCUUGAAGACUCUGGGCCUCUUGGCCCAUAUGGAGAAUGGGAGGUGAGAAAACAGGUGAAUUAUCCUGGAAGACGAAAACUCUACUGAGCCAAACACUACUGAGUGUUGACUAUGCACAUGACUAUAGGCUAGGGUUAGGAUAAGCCCGGAGAUGCAAAUGAAAGAUGAUUCCCUGUUCACUGGGCUUCAGAGUGCACUGGGAACAGUAGGGCACAGGCAGUUGUAACAAUGGUAAGAACAAUGUAGAAUACCAAACAAGAGAAUUAGACUGUGUGCACUUGGAUAAUGAAAGACUGAGCUCUCCACGUUGUGGAUAUGAGAGCAGGCUACAUCUAACCAGCUUUGUGAGAGUUUGUGAGCUCCCUAGAUCUAUCAUAAUCAAUAGUGUAUUUAUAAGAAUCCAUGCUUUUAAAGGCCAAAUAUAAAUGUUUUAAGACCUAAAAUCUUACAAACAUUGUUUCAAACACUGACUAUUUAAAUGCAAGAUAUUAAAGAAUAAUUUUUAUAGACAGUCAUGAGCUAUGUCUUCUAGGGAAGUAGUCAUAUCAAGAAAUACACAGAGGACACUAGAGAAGAGCUGGGUCACCUUUCUGCUGCCAUCAAAAUGUGUCCAAGCUUCUGCGUUGGAAAUUCCAUGUUCUGAGAAGCAUUUUGAGAGGUGGAAUCUGCUGGGGAAGGAGGUUAGGUUAAGAGUAAUGGUGUUACGAAACCCUAAUUGCAUUAAGUUGUUCUCUUUUGUUCUACAGUUGUGUGAAUACUUUGUUUCCUUUUUCUGAAGAUGUCCAUCUAAUUCAAGUCACCAUCUUCAAAGUAGAGGUCAGAACCUUACCUGAAGCCUGAGCCUAGGACUGAGACUUUGAAACAAACGGGGUUUUGGGAAACAGUUCAGUUCUGUUGAAUAAAACAGAAAAGCAUC
Rattus norvegicus (Norway rat) is the source of this 2459-nucleotide non-coding RNA. The record is from RefSeq and is a predicted model, not a curated record. NCBI's taxonomy places the organism in Eukaryota, Metazoa, Chordata, Mammalia, Rodentia, Muridae.